RNAcentral lists this ribosomal RNA (460 nucleotides) under uncultured bacterium. Its description in RNAcentral is "partial 16S ribosomal RNA". It matches the Rfam family "Bacterial small subunit ribosomal RNA", at positions 338 to 795 of the family's 1533-position model. The record is from RNAcentral.
CCUACGGGAGGCAGCAGUGAGGAAUAUUGGUCAAUGGACGAGAGUCUGAACCAGCCAAGUAGCGUGAAGGAUGACUGCCCUAUGGGUUGUAAACUUCUUUUAUAUGGGAAUAAAAUGUUCCACGUGUGGGAUUUUGUAUGUACCAUAUGAAUAAGGAACGGCUAACUCCGUGCCAGCAGCCGCGGUAAUACGGAGGAUCCGAGCGUUAUACGGAUUUAUUGGGUUUAAAGGGAGCGUAGGUGGAUUGUUAAGUCAGUUGUGAAAGUUUGCGGCUCAACCGUAAAAUUGCAGUUGAAACUGGCAGUCUUGAGUACAGUAGAGGUGGGCGGAAUUCGUGGUGUAGCGGUGAAAUGCUUAGAUAUCACGAAGAACUCCGAUUGCGAAGGCAGUUCACUGGACUGCAACUGACACUGAGGCUCGAAAGUGUGGGUAUCAAACAGGAUUAGAUACCCCGGUAGUC